Molecule: ribosomal RNA, 253 nt
Filed under: uncultured bacterium
Lineage: Bacteria
Description: partial 16S ribosomal RNA
Rfam family: Bacterial small subunit ribosomal RNA
Source: RNAcentral
UACGAAGGGGGCUAGCGUUGUUCGGAAUCACUGGGCGUAAAGCGCACGUAGGCGGACUCUUAAGUCGGUGGUGAAAUCCUGGAGCUCAACUCCAGAACUGCCUUCGAUACUGGGAGUCUCGAGUCCGGGAGAGGUGAGUGGAACUGCGAGUGUAGAGGUGAAAUUCGUAGAUAUUCGCAAGAACACCAGUGGCGAAGGCGGCUCACUGGCCCGGUACUGACGCUGAGGCACGAAAGCGUGGGGAUCAAACAGG